GUAGUAAAACAAAAUAAUAAUACUACAUAAAUUAAAACUGGAACAAUACAAAGAAGAUUAGCAUGACCCCUGCGCAAAGAUGACACGAGAAUUCGUGAAGACUUUUAUUU
This is a small nuclear RNA of Octopus sinensis (East Asian common octopus), 110 nucleotides long. The record is from RefSeq and is a predicted model, not a curated record. NCBI's taxonomy places the organism in Eukaryota, Metazoa, Mollusca, Cephalopoda, Octopoda, Octopodidae.